This 73-nucleotide transfer RNA is filed under the name Bos taurus (domestic cattle). It matches the Rfam family "tRNA". From Rfam's summary of the family: Transfer RNA (tRNA) molecules are approximately 80 nucleotides in length. Their secondary structure includes four short double-helical elements and three loops (D, anti-codon, and T loops). RNAcentral also lists the same sequence under 5 other names. The record is from Rfam by way of RNAcentral. Lineage: Eukaryota; Metazoa; Chordata; Mammalia; Artiodactyla; Bovidae.
UCCUUGAUGAUCCAGUGGUUAGGACUCUGCUCUCUCGCUGCCAAAGGCCUGGGUUCAAUCCCUGGUCAGGGAA